Rosa rugosa (rugosa rose) is the source of this 1853-nucleotide RNA transcript. RefSeq lists it as uncharacterized. Lineage: Eukaryota; Viridiplantae; Streptophyta; Magnoliopsida; Rosales; Rosaceae. The record is from RefSeq and is a predicted model, not a curated record. The transcript is spliced from 5 exons.
CAUAGGGCAAGAAUUUUGGUAAUCCAACCCCUUUCACAUCAGAAGUUAGGAGCUUUCAUACUAGAACAAUUAAGAAGACUUCAUGGCAUUUUCCGGCGCAUCUCUACGGAUCUGACCUUUCACGGUUCACUGACACCGCUAUUUGCCUGGGUUCCCUAAUCAGGGUUUAGGGUUUAAGGGAUCGAGGAUUGGCCAGAAGACCCAGAAUCUCAAUCACCCCAAAGCGCAACGCAAGUUUUCAACUUGUUCCAAGACAAGUAAAUUUUGUUUAUUUCAUAAGGAUGGUUAGCAAUUGUCCUCGGGAAAUAGAGGAUCAUGGAAUACAGGAUGUUCAAAAGUCGUCGUCCUCUUCAGAGGGGAUAGUUUAGCUUUCCUCUUUUGUGAUUUCUGUACUGAGCUGAAGAAAGCCCAGACAAUAGAGAAACAUGCCACAUAGAACUCGACCGCUGACUGCACUUUUGGUGUUUACUGGACUGAAUGCUAUCCUAGUUUCAACCAUUACUCCUGUCUAUGAUUUCGCCUGCUUUCUUCCUUUUUGGGAAAGACGGGUGUUCUGCUUGUUCCUUCAUAUCAAUAGUAAAACAAAGUUGUGAAAAAGAAGUAAUGAGAGGGACUGCUUUGACUGUCAGAAAGUUCUCGUCUCACCAACUUGGAUCGCAUAUUUCAAAAUUUAAUGAUAUCCAGCCGAAAGGAAGGUUGUAGAAAAUACUGUAAAUGCAAAAAGGUUGAAUUGGUGAAGUCCACUUGGCCGAGCAAUGUUGCUCACAGAAUGUAGUUGCCUUCUUCCAUUUUGUGGGAUUUUUGCUGGUAAGUACCCUUAGUCUUGUAGGUCAAGACAUUGUAUCUGAACCUAAAGGAGCAGUAUUUAUCUGGUUGCGGUAAUCUUAGGUGCACUCAUCUCCGUACCCUCCUUUCUCCUUGCUGUACAUUCUUUGUUAUGGUUUCAUGGAGGAGCUCACUAUUUUGUUGUACUCUUCCAGUAUAUGUAGGUUUCAAUGUCCCUUGGGAAUUUAAUAAGCAAUCAUAGAUACAUAGAACAAACAGGCCCACUUUGACAAAUACAAACUAGGGAUUCAAUUCAUUUACUUUCUCUGAGUUUGUUGACUUGUAGGGAACCUACUGCAAAUAAUUAGAGUUGCACUAUUUCUUUCAUCAAUGCAAAGGUAAGAUUAUGAUUUAUAAGUGGUGGGCUAGCUAGGAUUCUCCUCCUGGAGCAAUGCAACUGUCCUCAGCAAAACUGAGAUAAAUUCGUUGCUGUUUUCAGUUAAACUAAGGCCUACUCUUUUAAGUAUUACAUUGUAAGCAUUAUUAAUACAAGAAACAACAGUUUUUUAAGAACAUAUGUAUUUCAAUCAACUAAAACACAGAUGUUCUGGCAAUUUCUGUUAAGAGCACUUAGUUUAAAGUUUUAAACUGAUGUUGUUUGUUUUGGCUGAUUUUUAACUGCCAGUAUAUCCUAUGCAUACCCACUAUAUACGUAGCACUUUCUCAAACCGAAACCCUCUGUUUAUCAUUGGGUUUACCUGUUGGGCAUCCACACUUAUUGAUUAACUCUGAAGUCAUGCUGUAGCGACCUUCACUAUGCUUUAUGUGAAGUUGCAAACUACAUACUUGUUUAUUAUUGGGUUGGAUUGGAUUGGUUAUGUUAUUCAGUUAUUGCUAAUCCCGCUAAUCGAUGGGAUGCAAUCAGUCCUUUAAGACUCAAAUGUGAUCAGUCCUUUAAUACUCAGAUGCGAUCAAUAAUUUGAUAUAACCGACUAAAACCACUUUAGAUAAUAUUGGAUUGCAUCUAUUAGUUUUUCUUGUAGAUUUUCUUUUGCAUCCUUACAUCUUGUAUCCUUGUGGUUUUCUUC